GAUUAUGGCUCAGGACGAACGCUGGCGGCGUGCUUAACACAUGCAAGUCGAACGAUGACGGUGGUGCUUGCACUGCCUGAUUAGUGGCGAACGGGUGAGUAACACGUGAGUAACCUGCCCUUCACUUCGGGAUAACCUCGGGAAAUCGAGGCUAAUACCGGAUAUGAGCUUCUGCCGCAUGGUGGGGGUUGUAAAGAUUUAUCGGUGAGGGAUGGACUCGCGGCCUAUCAGUUUGUUGGUGAGGUAAUGGCUCACCAAGGCGAUGACGGGUAGCCGGCCUGAGAGGGCGACCGGCCACACUGGGACUGAGACACGGCCCAGACUCCUACGGGAGGCAGCAGUGGGGAAUAUCGCACAAUGGGCGAAAGCCUGAAUGCAGCGACGCCGCGUGGGGGAUGACGGCCUUCGGGUUGUAAACCCCUUUCAGUAGGGAAGAAGCGAGAGUGACGGUACCUGCAGAAGAAGCGCCGGCUAACUACGUGCCAGCCGCUGC
RNAcentral lists this ribosomal RNA (493 nucleotides) under uncultured bacterium. RNAcentral's name for it is "bacterial SSU rRNA". It matches the Rfam family "Bacterial small subunit ribosomal RNA", at positions 15 to 518 of the family's 1533-position model. The record is from RNAcentral.